This is a non-coding RNA of Eublepharis macularius, 469 nucleotides long. Lineage: Eukaryota; Metazoa; Chordata; Lepidosauria; Squamata; Eublepharidae. The record is from the annotation of a RefSeq genome assembly.
UGAGAUGGCUGCAGCACUAGCUCGAGCCUACCACGGGCAUUUUGCUCUCUUCCUUCUCUCCUUCUCGGCCCUGCAGUGUGCCUCUACAGUGAAGGUGACCCAGCAUCCAGUGUUUAGUGGUUUGUCACAGAAUGAGACCCUAUACCUGAACUGCACUGUUGAUCAGCAGAACUACAAUUUCUUUUGGUACCGCCAGCUCCCUGGACAGACUGAGCUACGGCACCUUGGGACUUUGUACACCUACAGCAAUAGUCUAUCUGAAAAACCAAGUGAAAUAAAAGAUCGGCUCAAUGGCAAACGAGAGAAAAAUAGCUGUUACCUAAGCCUGCAACACCUUCAGCCUGAAGACACAGGACUGUAUUUGUGUGCUGUCACGGACACAGAGAUAGUGGCAGGAAGGAGGGCUGAUACAAAACUGAGCACCAGGCAACAUGCAUUUGUUACAACAUUCUCUCAGUACUGUAUGUAA